UAGGCGAUCUCGUUGAGAGUUCCAAAUCCACAACUAGUUAGUAGCUGGCGAACAACGCAGAGUUUGUGACGGAAGCGUACUCGCUACCGACGGUACCAGAUUUCACACAUGGAUACGAAACACUAAAUCACUUGGCAUCCUAAAACCAUUCAAGCGUUCAAGCGAUGCUUGAAGGAAGAUGAGACCACGUGUGGAUCUGUGGUAAUCAGCAAUUCUAACAUGCCCACCUGACGACCAGAGCGCUGUCGACAACUGUCAAGAAAAAUAAUUCAUUAACCCCAUUUCUGAACGCCGUCAUCUCUUCACGAAAAUGGAUGAGAAACAAGCCUUCAAUCAUCAUCGACAUGCACAAUGUGGCCCAAGCAACAGCAUCGCACCAGCGGACACGUUUGGUAACAUGGAUCUAUAACAACCACCGUCCCCUGCUUUCAUUUCGCUUGGAGCCACAUGUCCAAAAACGGAAAACGGAAUGGGGAACUAGUUUAGACUGCGGACUUGCACUAAAUCACACUGGGCCCGACAGCCUUGCCUUCCACGGGCUGCCCCCGGAAUGUACCUCAUUCUAGAUAAAACGUCAUUACACCGGGCGCCCGUCUUUUCCACUCGAUGAAAGGUCACAGAUCGGCACUCCCCCGUUCGGAGAGGAAGAUUAGGAAGUAAUUGUAUUUACAAUAAAAUCGGAGAAGAGUCUCGUAGCGUGCCUGCCUGUGGUGUUGUUAUUGGGAAUUUCGCUUGAGAACACUGGAAAAGAAAGGGGAAAAAGAAGGAAAAUAGAGGUGUAGAAAACAAAUUCAAGUCUUCAGACACUCAUAUCCUCUGUUUCUCAGCUCUCUAUA
Aplysia californica (California sea hare) is the source of this 836-nucleotide long non-coding RNA. RefSeq lists it as uncharacterized. The record is from RefSeq and is a predicted model, not a curated record. The transcript has 3 exons. NCBI's taxonomy places the organism in Eukaryota, Metazoa, Mollusca, Gastropoda, Aplysiida, Aplysiidae.